CUGCGUUGCAGGACAUGUUACCCCACUGGAACCUUAAUCCAGCUAAUACUAACAAGUCCUUGAGAAUAAAUGUGGGGACGAGAAAAGGAAAGACUGGGCUCAGUGAGUGGAUCUGCACUGCUUCCAUUGGAUCUCCUUCACAGAGCUACACCCGCGGUGCCUCCUGCUCAACCCCUACAACUCAGCACUGACACAGCUGAGGCUCAGCCCGGCAGAGCUUGCCCAUCCAUGCCGAAAUCUGAAGUUCCCAGCAUGGACAUACGUGGUGAUUUUCCGCUCCGCCGUCUGCAGCAGCUUCCAUCACCUUAAGUGCAAAGAUCUGCCUGAAUGUGAACUACUGGAUCAGGAUUUACUGCCAUGCACGGGAGCAGCAGUGGGAAGAACUUCUGGACACCACAAAGGGAAAAUGCUCAGAAAAUGCUCAGGGAUAGAGUUUUUUCCCCCGGUUUGGUUGGGGGAAGGAGAACUGCAUUUCCAACCACAUUUCCAAACCCAAAGAGCCAUUGGAGAGAACUGCAGAGGUUUGGGUCCCCCCAUGCAGUGUCGGGUGUCCCUGGGCUGCAGUGAGGGGUUGGAGUGCAGGGCCCACGCGGGUGCCCCGGGCACAGAGGGGCUGUGCUGGGGCAGGCGGCAUCUGGGAAGCAGCAAUCUGG
Molecule: long non-coding RNA, 653 nt
Organism: Gallus gallus (chicken)
Lineage: Eukaryota; Metazoa; Chordata; Aves; Galliformes; Phasianidae
Source: Ensembl